UACGGAGGAUCCGAGCGUUAUCCGGAUUUAUUGGGUUUAAAGGGUGCGCAGGCGGGGGAUUAAGUCGGCGGUGAAAUUUUGCAGCUCAACUGUAAAAGUGCCUUCGAAACUGGUUUCCUUGAGUGUAGAUGAAGUAGGCGGAAUUUGUGGUGUAGCGGUGAAAUGCAUAGAUAUCACGAGGAACUCCGAUUGCGCAGGCAGCUUACUAAACUACUACUGACGCUCAGGCACGAAGGCGUGGAGAUCAAACAGGAUUAGAUACCCCCGUAGUCCCU
This 275-nucleotide ribosomal RNA is filed under the name uncultured prokaryote. RNAcentral's name for it is "partial 16S ribosomal RNA". It matches the Rfam family "Bacterial small subunit ribosomal RNA", at positions 524 to 798 of the family's 1533-position model. The record is from RNAcentral.